AAAAGAAAUCAGUUCAGCACUAAGUCACUUUGUCUUUAUGGCAAAUGUGAGAUGCAGUGUAUGGAAUGUCAAAUUUCUAGUAUGAGAAAUUAACGAUUUAAGUCCUUCUUAAAUGAGGCCAUUUACCCAUAGAGGGUGCCAGGCCCGUAUAACGUUAAUGAUUACUAGAUGGCAUUUCCAAAGAGUCGUGUUGCUUGAUAGUGCAGCACUAAGUGGGUGGUAAACUCCAUCUAAAACUAAAUAUAACCAUGAGACCGAUAGUAAACAAGUACCGUGAGGGAAAGUUGAAAAGAACUCUGAAUAGAGAGUUAAAUAGUACGUGAAACUGCUUAGAGGUUAAGCCCGAUGAACCUGAAUAUCCAUUAUAGAAAAUUCAUCAUUAUGAUUUUAAUAUUAAUAAUAUUAUAAUAAUGGUGUGCAUUUUUUCUAUAACGGACAUUGUAAUCUAUUAACAUAAAUAUAUUUAUCAUAAGAUCAAUGAUGCGUAAGUUUAUUCAAAUUAUUUUGCUUGCAAUUUAACAUAGAAUAAAUGCUCUUGAUUUGAUAAAGUGUUGAUAGAUUUAUUGUAUAUAGUGCUUAAAUAUUUAUAUUUUAUAAUAGCAUAUUAAUCAUUGAUUUUUAUGUUUAUUAUAUGCACUUAUAUGAUUAACAAUGCGAAAGAUUCAGGAUACCUUCGGGACCCGUCUUGAAACACGGACCAAGGAGUCUAACAUAUUUGCAAGUUAUUGGGUAUCAAAACCUAAUAGCGAAAUUAACAUAACUUUAAUGGGAUUAGUUUUUAGAUUAUUUAUAGUCUAUUAAUUCAAUCCCGGGGCGUUCUAUAUAGUUAUGUAUAAUAAUAUUUAUAUUAUUUAUACCUCUAACUAGAGCGUACCUUGAGCAUAUAUGCUGUGACCCGAAAGAUGGUGAACUAUACUUGAU
Molecule: ribosomal RNA, 921 nt
Filed under: Sarcophaga bergi
Lineage: Eukaryota; Metazoa; Arthropoda; Insecta; Diptera; Sarcophagidae
Description: eukaryotic LSU rRNA
Rfam family: Eukaryotic large subunit ribosomal RNA
Source: RNAcentral